This is a non-coding RNA of Phrynosoma platyrhinos (Desert horned lizard), 73 nucleotides long. The record is from the annotation of a GenBank genome assembly. Lineage: Eukaryota; Metazoa; Chordata; Lepidosauria; Squamata; Phrynosomatidae.
GGUCAGUGUGGUGUAGUGGUUUGAGUGUUAGACUCUGACUCCGCAGACCAGGGUUUGAUUUCCUGAUUGACCA